Molecule: unclassified non-coding RNA, 8869 nt
Filed under: Diabrotica virgifera virgifera (western corn rootworm)
Lineage: Eukaryota; Metazoa; Arthropoda; Insecta; Coleoptera; Chrysomelidae
Description: s-adenosylmethionine decarboxylase proenzyme
Source: RNAcentral
UGACUUGAUUCUGUCUGAAAAUUCAUUAUUCCGAGAGCGUUUAAAAAGAGUGGAGGUGCGCAAUGGCAGCUACUGAAGUGUUAAACGGUUUGCAAUUUUUCGAAGGAGUUGAAAAACUUCUUGAAAUUUGGUUUACUACAAGUGAUGGUAAUCAUAAGACAGCUGACUUGAGAAAAAUACCCAGACAUAAAUUGGAGGCGCUGAUGAAAAUUGUCCGAUGCGAAAUAAUAAGUUAUGUGAAAAAUGAUCAAAUUGAUGCUUACGUAUUAAGUGAGAGUUCUAUGUUCGUCUCUAAGAGACGCUUUAUUUUGAAAACAUGCGGGACAACGACACCUUUGUUGUGUUUGGAGCCUCUUCUGCUGAUGGCAGAGCAAUACGCGGGGUUCACAGAAGUUGAAGAUUUAUAUUAUUCAAGAAAAAACUUCAAACGGCCUGAUUUACAAGUGACACCCCAUCAACACUUCGAUCAAGAGGUGGCUUUGUUAGACACACUGUUUCCGGAUGGAGCUGCCUAUUGCUUGGGAGCGGUAAAUAGAGAUUGUUGGUAUCUCUAUACUUUAAAUCCGAUUCCGCAACGCCUACCCUCUUUACCGAAUCCGGAUGAACCGGACCAAACGCUUGAAAUUAUGAUGACAGAUCUCGAUCCGGAAAUCAUGUCUAUAUUCACAAAGGAAGAGUGUUUGAAUGCAACCGAAGCCACGAAGAAAGCGGGGAUUGACAAAAUAAUUCCCAAUAUGAUAAUUGAUGAUUUCCUCUUCAAUCCUUGCGGAUACUCCAUGAACGGUGUUACUAAAAAUAUUUGUUCAGAACUUGAAGACGGUUGCUACAUGACUAUCCAUAUUACUCCGGAACCUGAUUUUUCUUAUGUUAGUUUUGAGACAAACGUUCCUUCCAGCUCCUACAAGGAAAUAAUCAGUAAAGUCCUCGAAACAUUCAAUCCAGGGAAGUUUACUGUCACCGUUUUCUCAAACCAAUUGUCUCCAACAAAGGACACAUCGAAAGAGCUACUUUUCCUCAACCAACUGGCCGAUUGGCAAAGACGAGACGUUCAGCAAUGCAGUAUUAAGAACUACGAUCUCGUGUACGCGUUCUUCUGUCGUUUUCCAAGCUGAGGGUGUCCGGGCGAGCUGUGCGAGUGCACAGCUAACCGUAACCUUUCCCACCUCCUUUCUUCCAAUCCUUUACCUUCCAGAAUUUUCCCUCAACAUUUCUUUUCCACUCUACCUAUCCCUCGUAAAUCAUCUCACAAUCAGAUUCCUCAUCUUUUACUUCAUUCAUUUCUAUUACACUUUAACAACAACUUUGCCGUAGACGAUAUAGAGAAGAAUUUGCCUAAAUCUGUUGUACCGAGCUUCCUUUUCUACUACGGCUACUCUGUGAUGGCUUGCGCACUUUUAAUGAAGUUCGGACUUUUAAAAUCGAAGAACGUCAACCCCAACAACCAUGACUGUAACACGCAGCCAGCUUACAAUACUUUGUUUGGACCUUUUUCAUUCUUUUUUCUUUAUUUCACCCUGUUCGCGCCAGUUUUCAAGUUCACAGAUUUUGAGUCGCCACUUGUUCUUUUUUCUUGGUGGCGCAAUAAAAUAUCGUGAGAACUACUGAAAAAACUUCCACAGUAGGUAGUGCAUUAGAGGGCUUGUCUUUUCAUCUAUGAGGGUGUUAAGAAUUCUUGAUGCAUUAUAAUCUUUGUCCUGAUUGCCCUACCUCCUUGGAAGUUUUAGCACUGGUUUAUUUCCGAUUAUGAAGUAGAUGGAUUUUCUUUUUGUAAAGAGCCUUUGAAUGAACAACUCCAAAAUUUUUCCCCAAAAAUAUCAGGGUUGAUGUAGGUCCAUUCGGUGUAAAAAUAAGCUCUAGAUGUUGAGUAGGUAAAACUUUUUCGAUAAAACACUAGAGGCUUAUUUUAUUUUAUUACUAAAUUACAAGAAGAUUUAUUAAGACUUUAUCUAAUGGAAAUUGGACAGAUUUUAUUGAGCAUGUAGUAAUUAAUAUACAAUAGUUUUAAGAUUAGAAUUAUAAAUAUUUGCUUUAAUUUUUAAACAUAUAUAUUUAGAGAUCGAAUAAUAGAGAGAUAUCGAAACCGUCGUUUGGUAAUAAAAGAUCCUUUAUUUUGACACUUUUGACAUAUAAGCAUGGUUAUUUAUGUCAAAAUAAAGGAUCUUUUAUUAAAGGACGAUGUUAAAUAGGGUUUCGAUAUCUCUCUAAUUAAUUUAUUUUUGAACCAAACAUGACAAAUACUGAAAAUCAUAAGAUGCUUUAUUUAAAAAAUAAUAUUAAGCACAUUAUCCACUUUUAGAUAUGUUUUCUACCAUUUAUAUAAUAUGUCUUCCCAACAAAUAAAUUAAAAGCAAAUCUCUCUUAGGGCGUAGGCGCAAAAUCUUGGCUCCAGUGCUUUUUAAAUGCAUUCAUUUUUUUUCGAAUACUGAGAAAACUAAUAAAAAUUUUUACGCAGAAUGAGAUAUUAGGUACAUUAUUUUCAAAGGCCGAAAGUCACUUAGGAUAAACAAAAUGUUUCUUUUGAAUGAGAUAUUUGAAAUUAAAAAUCAUAAUAAAUUUCCUCUUUUUUUUUCACCACUGCUUAUUAAAAUAAACAUUAUAUAAGUUUUCAGAGACUUUCGGCCCUCGGUAACGUAAUCUUUCAUUCUGCGUUUAAAAUUUGCAAAAAUAUUUAUCAGUUUUCUCAGGAUUCGAAAAAAAAAGAAUGCAUUUAAAAAGCAUUUGAGCCGAAAUUUUGCAUCUACUCCCUUAAGUCAAUAGGUAAAUACUGAUUACCUCAAACUUGACUACAGAAAGUUAAGACCGGUGUUUAAAAAUACUUAAUAAUUUUCCUAAACUCACCGCAGUUAAAAUAAAACAUAUUCGGCUCAUAUUAUUGAGGUACAUAAUGAUUUCCUUUGCUUGUAUUCCUAUACGGGGUUAGCUCUUCUGAUUACAUUUAUUAAACUGUUUCUAUCUUAGUCAUACCCAUAUAGACUACUAGUCUUCUCUAGGCGUCUCCAACCAUAUCUUCAUUGGUUUAACAGGAACCUUUGCAGGAACGGAACAAGUAGGCAACAUUCAGCACCGUACAUCAUAAUUAAAAUUUCAGUACCGUUCUUAUAAAACUUAUCAUUUAGUUUUUUCGUCAUAUAAAUACCACCGCUACUUCCCGUUUUAACGAUGCUGUUUCACCUCGAAAAAAAAAAAUAGAUUUUGCGGUGGACAUCCGAACUUAUCAUUGGAUAAGUUUUUACAUGGUAAACAAAAAAUUCAAAAAGAUUUUAUUAGCUUAUAUGUUUAUUGAGAUAACUCUGUCGAGUUUUUUAGUUAUAACGAUUUUUGACUUUUUGGUAUCACUCGGAAAUCAAAACAACGAAUUUUUUGCACAAAAAAGGGCGAAAAUCAACAUAUUUAUUAUUGUUAAAUAAAAAAUAAGCAUAAAACAGAAAAUAUAUACAAAAUUCCAGGUGGGUCGGUCAAGUAGUUUUUGAGUUACAAUGUCUACAGCCUUUGAAAAAAGCAGUUUUGAGGAAAAAGCGUUUAAAGUAUUGUCAACUUUUAUUUUCAAUUUCUGUUAUUUUCAGUUUGUCUGUCAAAUCGUAAAAUGAUGCACGCCGGAAUAUCUUUUUGAAUCGCGGAGUAAUUUACAAAAGAAAAUGAGAACAGCUGUUGACCGUUGUUCAUUACGUUCAAGCGUGCUGACGGGAACCUGCUGCAAAGCUAGUCGAAGAUAGGGAUAUUCAACACUAUUUCCCUACCUUCGACUCGCUUUGCAGCAUCUUCGCGCCAGUGCGCUUGAGCGUAGUGAGAAACGGUCAACAGCUGUUCUCAUUUUCUUUUGUAAAUUACUCCGCGAUUCAAGAACAUAUUCCGGUGUGCAUCAUUUUACGAUUUGACAGACAAAAAAAAGUGAAAAUAAAAUAAAAGUUGACAAUACUUUAAAAGCAUUUUUCUCAAAACUGCUUUUUUCAAAGCCUGUAGGCAUUGUAACUCAAAAACUACUUGACCAACUCACCUGGAGUUUUGUACAUAUUUUCUUUAGACAUUCCUUGAGGAAACACUGUCGAGAUAUUUUUUUAUUUUAUGCUUAUAUUUUGUUUAACAAUAUGUUGAUUUUCACCCUUUUUUCUGUAAAAAAUUUCGUUGUUUUGACUUGAGUGAUAGUGAUACCUACUAAAAAGUCAAAGAUCAUUAAAACUAAAAGAAACUUGACAGCGUUACCUCGAGAAACUCAUAAGCUAAUAAAAUCUUUUUGAAUUUUUUGUCUACCAUGAUCCAAUGAUAAAUUCUGAUGUCCACCGCAAAAUUCAUUGCUUUUUGGGGUGUCUUUAAAAAUUUGUCACCGUUGGCUUAUUUUUCAAUAUUUCUUGAUUUUUUUUUGAAUAUUUUUUUAAUUAUACUUAGUAUGCGUAUUUAAUUUAAAAAUAAAAUUAUUCUCUUAUACUUUAAAAAAAAAUCACAAAAAAAUGUUGAUUUCAACCCCUACGGCCCCCCCUUAAGGAUAGCUAUGACACGAUUCUGAUAGGCAACCCAUGCUGGUCGUGUUUGUCUAUGUAUGAAAUUUAAUAAAAAAAAUGUUUUAUCCGGCAAGCAUUCGGAUCCCGUACUAUAAGUCUGCAAAUUGGGUCUCAGAUGACAUCCUCAUUACUCAGAACUCUAGGACUCGAAUUUGAUCAUUAUGACCAAGUUUCUCAAGCUUGGAAACAAAGAGAAGUGACACGGUGCCAAAUUUAGAGAAUGCGGUGGAUGGGGCAGCAGUUCGUAGCGCAAAUCAACCAAUCUGACGGUCCAAAACGGCUCCAUUUUGUUUUUGCUGCAAUUUGGCGUCGAAUCGACUCGAUAAUUGGACAGUCGAUGUAGAUCACACCUUAUGAAUUCCGGAAAAUUGUGACCAUCACCUUUCCGACCGAUACGAAAGUCUUCGCCUGCUUCAGAGGAUGUUCGCCAGGUGGAGUCCACUGUUUUUAUUGUUCCUUGGUCUCUGGUACGUACUAGUGCGUCCAUGUUUCGUCACAAAAUAACGCAGAAACUCAUUCGAAUUGUGCUUAACCAACGUCAAACACAGUUUUGAAGUGGUCUCACUGUUGUGCUUGUUGUCCGAAGUGAGAAAACGCGGCGCCCAUCACGCAGAUACCCAAAAUGUCAUGCAGGAUAUGACCCACGCAAUCUGUAAAUAUGCCUACUGUCUCAGCUAUCUUACACUGAGAAAAUAAUUAAAUUUACGUUGAAAAUUUCCGCAAAACUGUUUCAAGCUGAAUAAUAUUGUAACUCAAAUUCACGCUGCUGUGGCGAAUACAAAAUAUGAAUAACAUCUGACGAGGCUGAACUUGAAAGUGUGCGAGUACAUUUUUCUAUAUCAAUUGUAAGGAAUCCCUUGUUAGCUUUGCUUGUUUAGCGUGUAUAGGUAGCUUUUUUUACAAUAACUCUUCUUCGUAAUCCAGGCGAUGCACAUUUAUCUCUGGAACUUGGUCAUACGACCUUUGUUAGUCAUAAGACCCUCUCUUUCCAUUAAACUCCAACAAAUCCUGUGGUACUCAACGAAAGCUAACAUUUCCUCAUUGGUAGUUUUAGGAUCUCUUCUGGUUUAAUCCUCAGUUGGCCGGUACAUUUCUGCCUCGUAUCUCUUAACACAUUGCACUGGCAUAGUAGGAUGUGUAUGGCAGUCUUUUCUUUCAUUUCGAAUUUUUUACAACACGGUUCAUUCACUUUACUUAUUUUGUAUAGGUGUUUUCUUAAAAGACGGAUUUUUUAUUCCAAUCACCACUUCAGGGACCGGUUUAAUCUCCCAUCUAUGGAAAUUCAUUAAAUUAUCCGAGCAUUUUUAUCAAUAUUCUUGAUUAUUUACGUAUUCUGGAUUUACCCUUGAGUGGAUCUCUAUUUCUUUUGAUGAUUCCUUAUCAGUCACUUCUAAACCUAGUUUCUUGCAUAUUUUUGGUAAUACGUUACAGUAACUCAAUAAGAAAUAAAAGUCAUAGAAUGUUUCACUCUUAACUUUCUAUGUGUCUGAAAAAAAUCCAAUGUUAAUUUUGAAGGAUGUACCAUGUAUAAUGCUUUAGUACAGUCGAAUAUCGAUCAAUCAUUUUAACCUAUACUAAAUUUACAAUCAAGAUGCAGUAGAAAUAAACAAACCAUUGAAAUGUAUAUACAUUGUAAAUUAUGAUUCGGCAGUGCUCCUAGUAGCAUUUAACGUGUCUUGGUUUGUUUAUUUCUACUGCAUCUUGAAUGUAAAUUUAGUAUAAUAACAAAAUAAAAAUAUAACGAUAUGUAUAACGUUAUAUCCAAUAUAAUCUAACCUUUGCUCAAAUUCACGUUUAAAUUUUAUUCUCCCUGUUUUGGUCCCUGAUGUCAGCAUUGGUAAUGUUGUUCCAUUUUUAUCUUUGCCAAUACGUCACGAUUCAUUUAAAAAAAAUUAAAUCAAAACAUAAAGUGAAACGUACGCGGAUGUGUAUAGUAUAUAGUAUACAGUAUACAAAAUGUAUGUACACGUCGACGUUCGUUUCACUUUAUGUUUUGACUUAAAUUGUUUGAAAAUGAGUCGUGACGCAUGGGAAAAGUUGAAUGGAAGAACUAUAUAUUGGUCCCCUUUAUUGUACCUUAUAGUGUUAGGGAAAACAAAAGAAAACAUAUCAAUUAUUAUAAAACUAUAUUAUAAUGAUUUUCCUAUUAUCCAACUCCUAUUUCGUUUUAAAAAUUUAUGUUCAGUUGGUAUUUUUUUGAACCAUUUAGAUGUGGCAUUUUUCGUUGACUCUUAAAGAAUAAUACCUCGCAGUGCAAGUAAAAUCUUUAAAUAAAUCAUUGAAAACUUUCAUAGGCCCCAUACGCCUGCGAUCAAAUUACGCAAAUUUACAAUGCACAGUAAACUGUUACUAAAACUGGUCUCCCAUACACUAGGCAUUUUUACGCAAUCACACGUCAAGCAACACAUACUGUAACAAUUGUUUGUAAAACCGUUUCUGUUGAGCAAAUUUGUUCACAGGUGUAAAACAUUGAUAGCAUCCAACUGUUAUUUAAAGUGGUCACCCAUACAUUAUGCAUUUUUACGCAUUCACACGUCAAGCAACACAAUAAACUGUAACAUUUGUUUGUAAAACAGUUUCUGUUGAGCAAAUUUGUUCACAGACGUGAAACAUUGAAAACUUUCAUAACAUCAACAACUGUUGCUUAAAGUGGUCACCCAUACAUUAUGCAUUUUUACGCAAUCACACGUCAAGCAACCCAAUAAACUGUAACACUUGUUUGUAAAAUAUAUUCUGUUGCGCAAAUUUGUUCACAGGUACAAAACAUUGAAAACAUUCAUAGCAUCAACAACUGUUGCUUAAAGUGGUCACCCAUACAUUAUGCAUUUUUACACAAUCACACGUCAAGCAACACAAUAAACUGUAACAAUUGUUUGUAAAACAGUUUCUGUUGAACAAAUUUGUUCACAGAUGUAAAACAUUGAAAACUUUCAUAACAUCAACAACUGUUGCUUAAAGCGGUCACUCAUACAUUAUGCAUUUUUAAGCAAUCACACGUCAAGCAACACAAUAAACUGUAACACUUGUUUGUAAAACAGUUUCUGUUGCGCAAAUUUGUUCACAGGUGUAAAACAUUGAAACCAUUCAUAGCAUCAACAACUGUUGCUUAAACUGAUCACCCAUAUACUAAGCAUGUUUACGCAAUCACACGUCAAGCAAUACAUACUGUAACAAUUGUUUGUAAAACCGUUUCUGUUGCGCAAAUUUGUUUACAGGUGUAAACCAUUGAAAACAUUGAUAGCAUCAACAACUGCUGCUUAAAUUGGUCACCCAUACAUUGCGCAAAUUUGUUUACAGGUGUAAACCAUUGAAAAUAUUGAUAGCAUCAACAACUGCUGCUUAAAUUGGUCACCCAUCCAUUAUGCAUUUUUACGCAAUCACACGUCAAGCAACACAAUAAACUGGAACAAUUGUUUGUAAAACAGUUUCUGUUGAGCUUUGUUCACAGAUGUAAAACAUUGAAAACUUUCAUAACAUCAACAACUGUUGCUUAAAGUGGUCACCAAUACAUUAUGCAUUUUUACGCAAUCACACGUCAAGCAACACAUUAAAUUGUAACAAUUGUUUGUAAAACAGUUUCUGUUGAGCAAAUUUGUUCACAGGUGUAAAACAUUGAAAACAUUCAUAGCAUCAACAACUGUUGCUUAACUUGUCAGCCAUACACCAUACACUACGCAUUUUUACGCAAUCACACGUCAAGCAACACAACUGUAACAAUUAUUUAUAAAACAGUUUCUAUUGCGCAAAUUUGUUCACAGGUGUAAAACAUGCGAUCAAAUUGCGCAAAUUUACAUUGCACAACAAAUGGUUACUUAAAUUGGUCACACGUACGCUACGCAUUUUUACGCGAUCAAACGUCAAGCAACUAAAUAAAUUAACAAUUAUUAUUUGUAAAGUAGCUGCUGUUGCGCAAAUGUGUUCACAGGUAUGAAGGGCCCAUUAUUAAUAAACUGUUUCGCUGUCAGCGGCAUAAAAAAUGCACCCUCUGUUUCGUUUCAUUUGGUUAAAUGAAGAAUCUAUUUUCUUCUGUGUUAUAUCGUUGAUUGAUGUAUUGGGGGUUUAUUAAUAUUUCAAUCAACGGUUAUAUCCAUAAGAGACAACGAAAAUUGUUAUAUAUUUCCCCAACCCACUUUUAUUUUAAUAAUAUGUAACAAUGCAUAUCAUUUUACUGAAUUUACUUAAAAUAUACGCCAGUAAAAUUUGUCUUGUUUUCGAUUUUAGAUAGUUAAUUUUUAAUUAGCGAAUUUAAAUAAUUGUGAAACUUGAAUCAAAAUAAGUAGAAAAAAAUAGUUGUUCAGAAGUAUCUAUAUAUUUACAAAAUGUUGAUGUUACUGAUUAUCUGAAAGAAUAAAUAUAACUUUAGUAGACAGAAA